Molecule: long non-coding RNA, 9281 nt
Filed under: Paramuricea clavata
Lineage: Eukaryota; Metazoa; Cnidaria; Anthozoa; Malacalcyonacea; Plexauridae
Source: RNAcentral
CAUCAACCCUUUACAGGUCUUGCGUUAUCUUGUUGUGUUAUAUAUUACGAUUAUAUAACCUAGAUAUUUACACGCCAUCAAAGGGACUAUCAUGGAAAUACAUAUAUAAUAUUUCGUACUAUUAAUUAAUUUAACUUAUUUUACACAUGUGCUGUGACUUUGAAGCCUAAAGUGAUUGUGGUGUCGAUCGUCGAUCGAGGUGUCAAAAAAUGUCGUGUGGUAUCCUGCAAUGGUUGUAUGUCAGAUUGUUCUCUGUUAUUCGACCAAAAGGAAGCACUCCUUUGCCAAGUGGUGUUAUAAUAGCGUUAUUUGUUAGCAUGGUAAGGUAGAUGAUAAUAUAUUGCCAGAUUAAUUUAUAGAACAGAGAUUAUGUGUAAAGUGAAAUGUAUAAAUAAAGUGUCACGACAUUACUGUAAUAGGCUUAAGCCCCGUUUACACUACGCUCAAUUUUUGGUACAGCACGGAUAAAAUUGAUAACUAUUAGAUAGUCCAAGAACCAAAAAAUGGUAUAGUACCAAAAAUUAAGCGUAGUGUAAACGGGGCUUAGCUAAAUAGGUAGUCCAAGAACCAAAAAAGUGGUACGGGUACCAAUUUUAUCCGUGCCGUACCAAAAAUUGAGCGUACUGUAAACGGGGCUUUAAUGUUGCAAAUUAUGGCUUUAAUGUUGCAAAUUAUGGCAUUAUGCCCUGUCUAUAAAAUAUAGAGUUUCAUUUGCUUAGUUUAUAGCUCGAUCAUCAAUGGUUCCAUUGUUAUGAAAUUAUUGUUUAAUACAGCUUUGUUUUACACAUGAGUGACUCGGUAAUUAUCAUCGAAUUAAUUAAUUAAUUUUUAUAGUAUAAGGACUAUAAGAAAUUAUUGCGGGAGGUCCGGGAGGGGGAGGCAGUUGGCCCUCCUAGUUUCUGCCAUUGUCAACAAAUUUCUUAUAAUCUUUUAUAGUUUGGAAAUGGAAUUGCAAUGCAAAUGGUGUUUGCUUUCCUGCCUGAUAUGGUGAAGGUACACUAAUUAUCCAAUACAUGUUGCUAGGGUGUUUUUUGUUGUUUUCUUGUUUUAUAUACGGCUUAGUUUCAUCCAAAAUGUUAAUACAUUUUAGAGUUUUGGGAUUGCCGAUGAAGAUGCAGGUUAGCAUUUUAGCAGUUUUAAUGUAUUAAUUCAGUUAAUUAUGUUAUUUUGAUGAAAUGAUCUAGCUGUAUCUGAUACUCAUCUAAUAAUAAUUUAUACUGCACAUUUCUUUGUUGUUUUUUAAGGUUAUUAUGUGGGGAUGCUUGCAUCUGCAGUAUUUUUAGGCAGAUUUGUUUCGAGGUAAUUAUUUAAUUGUGGUUGUUGAAAAAGAUGAUUACCAAUCCCGAAUGAAAUUAUUGCAUAAAAAUCUAAAAAGUAUUGAAACCUAUUUACCCAGAUUUAGAAUGUAUUGAAACCACAGGCAAUUUGAGUGGGGGGGGGGUAUGAACGUGGGUCCCUACUCCCUGGACGAUAACAAGUUGUUGGAGCAACUUGCACCAUAGCAAGUCUGUCAAGCUCAACCACCUUGUAGCAAGCAGUCCGGUUUGUGGCUGUCGGUUUGGGGGGGAUGCUUUAUGCCGAGGUCUAGGUGAAUUUUAAUUGUUAACUUUGAUUCCUUCUUCCAGCUACUUCUGGGGCUGGCUUGCAGAUAAAGUUGGCAGACGACAAGUUCUAUUAUGGACUACCUCCAUGCUGGGUGUUGUAAGCAUAGCAUUUGGUUUUGCAAGAUCAUUUGAAGUUGCUCUUGUUAUUAGAUUUAUUACUGGCAUGGUUGCAGGUGUGUAAGUUACAAUGGAAGAACUUAAAAAGUCUGACCGUGGCUGCUUUUCUAAUUUUAACAAGUUCCAAUUUUAUAGGCAUACCUGGAACAGUCAAGGCAUCUUUGGCAGAAGUAUGUGAUGAUUCAAACCAGGUUAGAUUGCUCUUGUUUUGAUGUUUGUGAUGUUACUCUGAGUGUAUAUCCACACUGGGCAAGCUUGCUCUGCUAACUGAGCUAUGCGGUCAGGUUGGUUCGAAUAUGUGAUAUUUCGGAACUGAGUCUAGUUCCUUUGAUAUCAAUGCAAUCUAGUAAUCAUGAUAUUUUUUUUCUGUGUUGGUGUUAUGUGCUCAGGUAUCAUAUUCACCUGAGUACACAACACCAACACAGAAAAUAUCAUUACUCUUGUUUUGUUUGUUUGAAAAAUCUCUGUUGAAAUUUUAUAAACCCAUAAUUAUUAGCUGCAAUGCACCAAACUUUAUUAUUGCAUUUGUGAUUCUGUCUAUUGCCAGAUGAUUUUACUCGAUCAUCAAAGGGAGCUCCUAUAGUCUUGCACUUUAAAUGGGUUAAUUAAUUAGAUAAUUUUUCCAACUUUUUAUAAGCUUGUAUUUGCCAUUUUCCCUACAGGCAUUAGGAAUGUCAGUAGUGGUGACUGCGUGGAAUACUGGACUCAUCAUUGGUCCAGCUGUAGGAGGUAAGCUGUUUAAUUAACGCUAAACUUGUCUUAUGUUUAUAACAAUUUAUUUCAGAAUUCUGGUAGCUCAUCUGGUCAGUCUCCCCAAGGGAGCCAUAUGUCCUGUUGAUGACAUCCUUUCUCAUCUCUUUACUACUAGGUUACCUUGCAAAUCCAGUUGAAAAAUAUUCUGUAUUUAAAGAGAGUAAGUAAAAUUCUUUGAGUAUAAGUUUAAGCCAGUCUGGAAUAAGCCAUAUGAGUCUUAGGUUGUCUCAAGUCAAUAAUUAAGGCCAGGCCAAAGUAUUGAUCUUUCCACAUACUGUUUAUACAAUUAAUAAUCACAGAGGAACCAUGCAAGGCAGGAUCAAACUUUAUUUACAAGUGCAAAAUGUAGGCCAAAGCAAGGCUCAGGCCAGACCAAUGUUUACAGUAUAAACACUGCUAAGCAAUCUGUAUGUAUAUCCUAACUCAACUGUUAUUCUUAUUAUAACGGAGGAGACAUAGACUACAUUUUAUUUCAGCUGUAGUAAAAUGUUUCAUCUUCCUCCAAUAAAAAGUGGCACAAGUUAAAAAAAGAUUUGCUGGUUUUCCUUGAAGCAAUGUUACAAAACCAUUACACUGUGCCAACAAUGAACUUGAAAGUUUAUAAUUUUCCCUGCAAUUAAUCUAUUUUCAGGUUCUUUUUUUGAAAACUUUGCCUACCUAUUCCCAUGUCUGGUGAAUGCAGCAAUUUGCUUCUGCAGUUUUCUCCUGGUAUUUUUUAUCUUGCCUGAAACAUUAGCUUCUAAACGGUAUGUGCGCGCCUCACAUUUGCGAGUCAGGGAUUCGAUUCAAUAUCCAGUACGUUGUCUGAUUAUAAUUUCACCUCAGUUGCAUGCGAGAGGAGUGCUAGCUUCCAGUUUAAUUCUACCAAAGACGAGGUACGGUUUUCUCUAGGUACAGUACUCUAGUUUUUCCUCCUGUAGUAACACUGGAUCAAUAAAGGAUGAUCCUUACUGGAUCUCUAAGGAGAACAGUUUAGAAGUGAUAUAGUGUUAGAGCUAUCUAGUAUAAAUAAAGUUAGUUUAGUUUAGGUUUCCUCCUGUAGUAACACUGGAUCAAUAAGAGAUGACCCUUACUGGACCUCUAGGAAGAACAGUUUAGAACUGAUAGAGCUAUCCAGUAUAAAUAAAGUUAGUUUAGUUUAGGUUUCCUCCUGUAGUAACACUGGAUCAAUAAGAGAUGAUCCUUACUGGACCUCUAGGAAGAACAGUUUAGAACUGAUAGAGCUAUCCAGUAUAAAUAAAGUUACUUUAGUUAAGGUUUCCUCCUGUAGUAACACUGGAUCAAUAAGAGAUGAUCCUUACUGCACCUCUAGGAAGAACAGUUUAGAACUGAUACAGCUAUCCAGUAUAAAUAAAGUUAGUUUAGUUGAGGUUUCCUCCUGUAGUAUUAACACUGGACUGAUAAAGGAUGACCCUUACUGGACCUAAGGAGAACACUUUAGAACUGAUAGAGCUAUCCAAUGUAAAUAAAGUCAGGCUAAUACGUUUAGUUGACCAGCGAAAAGCGAAAAAGAAGUUGUUGAUUUUAACAAUCUCUUUCUUCUUUUAAAAGAAAGACGAAAGACAAAGAAAUACCAGCAUCGAUUAUUAACCCAGAAACGGAAAUUCACAAAACUCCACAAGCUUCUUCAAACAGACAACGGUCAACGCCGAAAACAAGUCAGAUUGAUCUACGGAACGGCUGUCAGUCAGGACAACAAGAUGAGGACUCCACCAUCCAAAGGUCACUCCCAAAAAGUACAGAAAUGUUGUUACUGUCCGGAUCUGUGUCCUUCUUACCCGAAAUAUAUCUGCAAAGCUAUCCUGGUUCCAUGGUUAAAGUUGAUAAUGCGAAAGAGGAGCCAUAUGUGCCUACCGUGGGAAAAGCUAAGCCUGGAGUAUUAAGAAAAACGUAUAAAUCAAUGAAACAAAGUAACCUGGCAAAACUUUGUAGGUAUGGGUUAUUAUAAACCUGCAGCUUUCGUUGGCAAAUGCCUGAAAAAUAUAAGGAGACGAGUCCAUUUUUAAACUGACUUAAUUAAGUUAGGUGGAUUAAAUAAUCAGAGCCCUGGUCAUAUGUAGAUACUUAUAUAAGCUCACAUUGUUGGGUUUGGUUUUCUUACAGAAAUAAAGACGUGAGAUAUUGUAUUGGUCUAUAUAGUGUAUUUGCGUUUGCUGUGGUAGCCGAUCAUGAAAUGUACAGUUUGUGGGCGGCAACUGGACAACAAUUCGGUGAGUUCUUAGAGUUAACUAACUGCUCUUGGAGUUAACUACUGUAACUUUGUUUCAAACCCUAGAGUUUCGGUAAGGACCAUUCUUCAUAUUGGUGCUACAGAAGGAGUGCCUGGAGAAAUCUGAGAAGUAUGUUUGUGAUGUUGCUCUGAAACGUUUGCUUGACCGCGCUGGGAAUCGAAUCCGGUGUGGGCACACUCAUGCAGAGUAACAUCACAAACAUAUAUCUUUGCAUGAGUGCCCAACACCAGGAACAAGAAUUCAAGAUCAUAAAAACACACUGAUGUCGAAGGAACUAGGACUGAGUUCCGAUAUAACACCGACUCGAACCGAGUUACCUCGUAGCUCAGUUGGUAACAAACUGGUAGCAAAGUUGGUAGCAUUGGACUAGCAAACCAGCAUUGCCCAUUGUGGAUACACUCAGAGACAACCUCACAAACAUAUUUCCUUCAUCUGAGUGCAGAACACCAGAAACAAAAAUUGAAAAUCUGAGAAAGUCAUGCAAUUGAACUGAGGCAGGUUUAUAGGUUUAUAAUGAAUCAAUUGCAUGAAUGAAACCCAAUCAGAAAGGUGAAACAAACAUGUACUAACCACUGUUUCGCUCCACAGGUGGCCUUGAUUUUAGCACAGAUGAUCUUGGAUUUACUUUAAUGGUCGUAGGGAUUGGCUGUGCUAUUUCCAACUGUAUUGUUUUCCCACAGGUGAUUUACUAUACGCAUAGUUAAUAGAAAACAAUACUAUGGUGCAACUGUAGUGAUGACAUCACCUUCUUGCAGGCCUUAAAAUAUCUUUUCCAGGGCCGUCUGACAAAAUGUCCGGUGACGUUGAGUUUGGGUCGGACAUAUGUCCGAUGACCUUCAGUUCAUUUUUGACUCGGAAAUAAGUCUGAAUGACACAAAUGAAUAAAUGGUAAAUGUUGUAAAGAUAUUAAAUAAUUUGUUUCUUUCAUACUUAUUUCCAAGCCAAAAUUAACUUGCUUGCCAGAACAGCAGUGUUAAAAAGACUUCGACAACUUAAGCCCGUUUUCCACUUCACUAUUUCGCUCGCCGCCCCGCGCUCUACUGCGUUAAAACUACAUUUCCAGUUGACCUUUUAUACAAUAGUACUCUGAUUUUCCAUUUAACAUAGAAGUCUGCCUCUAGUCCUGGCCUCCUGGGCUAGAGUACAUUUUGAUUUACGUCGGACAAAGCUACAGUUCGGUCGGACACCAAUACACUCGGGUCGGACAAACAAUAAACCUCAGUUUCACUUAGGUCGGACAGAAUGUCCGGUGGUUUCUUUUCUACGUCGGACAAUUUCACGAGUGGGUCGGACAAUGUCCGUGACCGACCGAUAUUUUAAGGCCUGUCUUGGACUCCCCCCCAACCCAUGGGGACGCAUGGGGAGAAUAAGAAUAAUGGCAUCGAACCUGCAGCUCUGCGAUUCCGGUGCAGCGCUCUAACCAAAUGAUAAAGUUAACAGAAUCCCAGAGCCGCAGGUUCGAUUCCUGCAAGAGGGCCUAUAGUUGCAUUUUUCACAACUGUUCCAGGUUAGAUGUAAUAAAUCCAAUAAUAUAAAACUUUGCCCAACAGACGUUUUAAAAUGGUUACAUUUCUUUUCUUUAUACUAGAUGGUAAAAGUCUUUGGACUCAUGAAGGUACUGUAGUUACAUCAUUGAAGUAAAUUCUUUCACGGUAGCACUAGCUGAUAUCAAAGUGAGCAUGAAAGUAAAUUCUUUCAUUAGUUGGGCUAUAUGACAUUCAAGCAUACAUCAUGCGUUGACAGACAGGAAUUUUAUUCCGGUACAUUGCCUACGUACUAAUGCAAAGAUUUUCUACUUCCAGACCCAGUUUAUCACGUUGACUACGAUGAUGUUCUUCAUAAUUGUACUUCCUGCUGCCAAUAGUCUUUAUGGCAGGUUGGUGGAAAUGAACUAACUUUAUUUAUACUGGAUAUUUUUUAUCAGUUCUAAAACUAAACUGUUCUCUCUGGAGGGCCAGUAAGGAUCAUCUCUUAUUGAUCCAGUGUUACUACGGGAGGAAACCUAAACUAAACUAACUUUAUUUAUACUGGAUAACUCUAUCAGUUCUAAACUGUUCUCUCUGGAGGUCCAUAAGUUCUAAACUGUUCUUCCUGGAGGUCUAGUAAUGAUCAUCUCUUACUGGUUCAGUGUUACUACAGGAAGAAACCGGAGUACCCCACUAGAAAACCUAUUUGCCCGUGUUUGGUAGAGUCAAACUGGAAGCACUCUUCUCACAUGCGACUGAAGUUCCGUUUUCUAAUUUUCUCUGGGUUGUUUCUGUUUAGAGGUGUAAGUUUGACGGCUACGGUCAUCGUUCUUGUCUUAGUGAGUAGAAUUUGUGCGGGAUGCUGUUUUACUGGACAAUUCAUCAUGAUUGGUAAUUGUGUACCCUCGCAUUUAAGAGCGACUGUUCACGGGUUGUCUAUGAGUGCGUCUUGUGCUGCUAGGUUAGUAUGGUUGCAAGUAUCUGCCUUUAUUGGAUAGCUCUAUCAGUUCUAAACUGUUCUCCUUAGAGGUCCAGUAAGAGUCGUGUCUUAUUGAUCCAGUGUUACUGAAGGAGGAAACCUAAACUAAACUAACUCAGUUAUACUGGAUAGCUUUAUCAGUCGUAAACAGUUCUCCGUGGAGAUCCAGUAAGGAUCAUCUCUUAUUGAUCCAGUGUUACUACAGGAGGAAACCUAAACUAAACUAACUUUAUUUAUACUGGGUAGCUCUAUCAGUUCUAAACUGUUCUCCUUAGAGGUCCAGUAAGAGUCGUGUCUUAUUGAUCCAGUGUUACUGAAGGAGGAAACCUAAACUAAACUAACUCAGUUAUACUGGAUAGCUUUAUCAGUCGUAAACAGUUCUCCGUGGAGAUCCAGUAAGGAUCAUCUCUUAUUGAUCCAGUGUUACUACAGGAGGAAACCUAAACUAAACUAACUUUAUUUAUACUGGGUAGCUCUAUCAGUUCUAAACUGUUCUCCUUAGAGGUCCAGUAAGAGUCGUGUCUUAUUGAUCCAGUGUUACUGAAGGAGGAAACCUAAACUAAACUAACUCAGUUAUACUAGAUAGCUUUAUCAGUCGUAAACAGUUCUCCGUGGAGAUCCAGUAAGGAUCAUCUCUUAUUGAUCCAGUGUUACUACAGGAGGAAACCUAAACUAAACUAACUUUAUUUAUACUGGGUAGCUCUAUCAGUUCUAAACUGUUCUCCUUAGAGGUCCAGUAAGGAUCAUCUCUUAUUGAUCCAGUGUUACUACAGGAGGAAACCUAAACAAAACUAACUUUAUUUAUACUGGAUAGCUCUAUCAGUUCUAAACUGUUCUCCCUAGAGGGUUCAGUAAGGAUCAUCUCUUAUUGAUCCAGUGUUACUACAGGAGGAAACCUAAACUAAACUAACUUUAUUUAUACUGGGUAGCUCUAUCAGUUCUAAACUGUUCUCCUUAGAGGUCCAGUAAGAGUCGUGUCUUAUUGAUCCAGUGUUACUGAAGGAGGAAACCUAAACUAAACUAACUCAGUUAUACUGGAUAGCUUUAUCAGUCGUAAACAGUUCUCCGUGGAGAUCCAGUAAGGAUCAUCUCUUAUUGAUCCAGUGUUACUACAGGAGGAAACCUAAACUAAACUAACUUUAUUUAUACUGGGUAGCUCUAUCAGUUCUAAACUGUUCUCGCUAGAGGUCCAGUAAGGAUCAUCUCUUAUUGAUCCAGUGUUACUAUAGGAGGAAACCUAAACAAAACUAACUUUAUUUAUACUGGAUAGCUCUAUCAGUUCUAAACUGCAUGUUCUCCGUAGAGGUCCAGUAGAGGUCCAGUAAGGGUCAUCUCUUAUUGAUGCAUGGAAACCUAAACUAAACUAACUUUAUUUAUACUGGAUAAAACACAAAACAUAUUGUUUUGUGUUUUAUUAGAAUACUCUAUGGCAACCGCAAUUUUUAUGUUGGAUAUCUCUAUCAGUUGUAAACUGUUCUCCCUAGAGGUCCGGUUAGGGCUAUGCAUCCUUAUUAUUGGGCCAGUGUGGUAGCUCCUAGAGAAACAGAUGCGUCAGUAAGACAAUAUAUUGUAUUAAUUCUCCUUUUCCAGAACUGUUUCUCCAACCGUGGCGGGCAGUAUGUUCUCAUGGUCCAUCACAUCUGGUUUAGGGUUCCCAUUCAACGAAAAAUUCGUAUUUAUAUUUAUUGGAUUUGUAACCUGGCUUGCGUUGGUCGUUGCCUGUUGCUUAGACGAGGAAGCUGUUACUAAACGGUCCACGAAGUGCGUUUUUAGUGACGACGACGAGCAGACGAGGAUCUGACCUCUAGAGGGCACUUACUAGUUACUACCUUCCCCAGCGAGUGAAGUCGAGCGAAAUCUAAAUCUCAAAUUAAUAAUUCAUGAGUACAUUGGCCAACCAUAUUGCUGUAUUUUGCUCGCAUGAUAAUACUAACGGUUCUCCACCGAAAAAACAAACGCUUGUUUUUUGAGUAAAAUUCAAUAUUUUCAUACAUUACUCUACAUAUACUGUUUUCAAAUUCAUCAAUUGAAUUCACACGCUUUUUAAUAUUUACGUGUAAUGUUAAAAAAAAAUAAUAAAUACAUCAUUAUAUAUAUUAGAUUAUAUACAGCAGAAUAUAUAUGUAUAGAG